AUUGAACGCUGGCGGCAGGCCUAACACAUGCAAGUCGAGCGGAUGAAGGGAGCUUGCUCCUGGAUUCAGCGGCGGACGGGUGAGUAAUGCCUAGGAAUCUGCCUGGUAGUGGGGGAUAACGUCCGGAAACGGGCGCUAAUACCGCAUACGUCCUGAGGGAGAAAGUGGGGGAUCUUCGGACCUCACGCUAUCAGAUGAGCCUAGGUCGGAUUAGCUAGUUGGUGGGGUAAAGGCCUACCAAGGCGACGAUCCGUAACUGGUCUGAGAGGAUGAUCAGUCACUGUAGAUCUGAGACGCGGUCCAGACCCAUGGGAGAGACAGCUGUGGAAUAUAUGAGAAUAUGCGCGAGAGCCUGACAGAGCCACGGCGCGUGUGAAGAAGGUCUUCGGAUUGUAAAGCACUUUAAGUUGGGAGGAAGGGCAGUAAGUUAAUACCUUGCUGUUUUGACGUUACCAACAGAAUAAGCACCGGCUAACUUCGUG
RNAcentral lists this ribosomal RNA (482 nucleotides) under uncultured bacterium. Its description in RNAcentral is "partial 16S ribosomal RNA". It matches the Rfam family "Bacterial small subunit ribosomal RNA", at positions 30 to 507 of the family's 1533-position model. The record is from RNAcentral.